CCUACGGGAGGCAGCAGUGAGGAAUAUUGGUCAAUGGGCGCGAGCCUGAACCAGCCAAGUCGCGUGAGGGAAGACGGUCCUAUGGAUUGUAAACCUCUUUUGUCGGGGAGCAAAAGACGCCACGCGUGGCGUUCCGAGAGUACCCGAAGAAAUAGCAUCGGCUAACUCCGUGCCAGCAGCCGCGGUAAUAGGGGGGAUGCGAGGGUUAUCCGGAUUUAUUGGGUUAAAAGGGUGAGCAGGCGGAAGAUAAAGUCAGCGGGAAAAUUGAGUGGCUAAACCUCUGCGGGCAGUUGAAACUGGUUUUCUUGAGUGAGUGAGAGGUAAGCGGAAUGCGAGGUGUAGCGGUGAAAUGCAUAGAUAUCACGAAGAACACCGAUUGCGAAGGCAGCAUACCGGCGCUCAACUGACGCUCAUGCACGAAAGUGUGGGUAUCGAACAGGAUUAGAUACCCUAGUAGUC
Molecule: ribosomal RNA, 459 nt
Filed under: uncultured bacterium
Lineage: Bacteria
Description: partial 16S ribosomal RNA
Rfam family: Bacterial small subunit ribosomal RNA
Source: RNAcentral